GCCAGGUGUGGUAGUGCAUGCCUGUAGUCCCAGUGGCUUGGGAGGCUGAGGCAGGAGGAUCACUUAGUGAGGCCCUAAGCAACUCGGUGAGGCCCUGUCUCUA
This 103-nucleotide small RNA is filed under the name Marmota monax (woodchuck). The record is from RNAcentral. Lineage: Eukaryota; Metazoa; Chordata; Mammalia; Rodentia; Sciuridae.